RNAcentral lists this ribosomal RNA (253 nucleotides) under uncultured bacterium. Its description in RNAcentral is "partial 16S ribosomal RNA". It matches the Rfam family "Bacterial small subunit ribosomal RNA", at positions 524 to 776 of the family's 1533-position model. The record is from RNAcentral.
UACGAGGGGGGCAAGUGUUGUUCGGAAUCACUGGGCGUAAAGGGCGCGUAGGCGGAUGUUUAAGUCGGGAGUUUAAAACCGGGGCCCAACCCCGGAGCGGCUCCCGAAACUGGGCAUCUUGAAUAGGUCAGAGGCUGGUGGAAUUGGAGGUGUAGCGGUGGAAUGCGUAGAGAUCUCCAAGAACACCUAUUGCGAAGGCAGCCAGCUGGGACCAUAUUGACGCUGAGGCUCGAAAGCAUGGGGAGCAAACGGG